UGGGGAAUUUUGGACAAUGGGCGCAAGCCUGAUCCAGCCAUGCCGCGUGCGGGAAGAAGGCCUUCGGGUUGUAAACCGCUUUUGGCAGGAACGAAACAGCGACUCCUAAUACGGGUUGCGAAUGACGGUACCUGCAGAAUAAGCACCGGCUAACUACGUGCCAGCAGCCGCGGUAAUACGUAGGGUGCGAGCGUUAAUCGGAAUUACUGGGCGUAAAGCGUACGCAGGCGGCUCUGUAAGACGGAUGUGAAAUCCCCGGGCUUAACCUGGGAACUGCAUUCGUGACUGCAGGGCUAGAGUCUGUCAGAGGGGGGUGGAAUUCCACGUGUAGCAGUGAAAUGCGUAGAUAUGUGGAAGAACACCGAUGGCGAAGGCAGCCCCCUGGGAUGAGACUGACGCUCAUGUACGAAAGCGUGGGGAGCAAACA
Molecule: ribosomal RNA, 427 nt
Filed under: uncultured beta proteobacterium
Lineage: Bacteria; Pseudomonadati; Pseudomonadota; Betaproteobacteria
Description: partial 16S ribosomal RNA
Rfam family: Bacterial small subunit ribosomal RNA
Source: RNAcentral